GUCCCAGGCAGAUGUCAGUGUGAGAAGCUAAUCCUCGCUAAUGGGUUAAUUGCUCCACCUCUCAGAUGUCACAAGGGCCCUUCAGCAGCUUCCGGCAGAUUCUCCAAAGAUUCACUGGCUGGAAGCAGUGACCCUAAAUCAGAAAAGCAACUCCUGGGGGGCGCAGCUCCGGACACGACCCUGGGGAGGACUUGAAGCAUUCUCUCUCUUCCUUCCUUGGACACACCUACUCGGAGGCUCCUGGCCCCGGGAGGCCCCCAGCGGAGCUGGAGGAGGGCCCAGCACCAGGGGUGGGUGAGAUGCCAGCACCCCCUUGGAGAUCAGAACUGCUAGUCGGGUCAGCUGACCCCAUCUCUGGCCACCUGAGUGACCCUCCUGGGGGACUGGACCUGGAGCUUGGGCUCCUCGGGUGCCAGCGUCACUGCUCUGGUCUCCCCAGUCUGCCCAGAGCCCCCUAAAGCCCACCGUGUGCUCAGCCAUGGGACUCCUCAUCCGAAGCCUCCGAGCCCUCCUUUUCCCAUCCCUCCACCACCCGGCCCGCUGGUACCAGAGCUGCCCUGCAGGACAAGCCUCAGCCUGGGCCACAGGCAAGGCCGCUUGACUCAGCAGUCCCUGCUGUGCCCACAGCCGGCGGGGAGGUUGCAGGUGCCUCCCCUCCCUGCCCAGGCAUCAAGUCACAGGGCUUGAAUACUUCCCAGGACAGGGAGCUCAUCAGCCCCAGGCAGCAGCCUGCCCCAGGCAGAAACGCUUCGACUUCCGAGACAAGUCCUUUGUGAUGAACUGACACCUGAACACCGGUUAAUUCCAUCUGUUUACACAUUUUCGUCAUCCGCAUCAUUAUUAAUACUGUCUACAUACCAGCACACUGCAGUAUGUCAGCGAAUCCUUCACCACUUGUGGAGCUGGGGCCUGUCUCUCCAUCAUGUACUGGUAGAUGGGAAACCUGAGGUCCAGAGGAAGUGUGUCACCUAAGUGUGUGACACGGCCAGGAAGUCACAGAACGUGGGCUCAGAUCCAGAGCCCAGGCCCUUGCCAGCCAGGGGUGUGCCCAUCCAGGUUCCACCAUCUGCUUAGCUCCCCUCUCCAGCGUGUUCUUACUUCUCUGCCAGGGGCCACUACCCCACAAAGCUCACACCUUCUCCCCCAGACCCUGCAGAUGGAUCAACUACUCCUCCAGGAAGUCCUCCUGAGACAGCCAAAGGGUAUGGAAGGAACCCUCUUCCCAAGUCCUGACCAUCAGCCCGUGGUUCCAAAGCCCUGCUGGAACUUGGCUCCGGCGCCCUCUGCAUCCCCAGUUCUGUGCAGUGAGGCCUGUGGCCCCAGAUGCUGGCAUCUCAUUGCCUUUCUCCUGUUGUGAUGGCGGCUGCCGGCGUGGAGCCAGCCCGACUGCCUGGAGUGAGGACUCCUUCUCCCCCACACCUGCUGAGCACCAGCCCUCUGAUCCUUCUCUUCAGGGGACCCCAGACUUCAUCUUUGCAGUAAUUGCAUACCAGGGGUAGCCAAGUCAGAAAGAUCCAGGUCCUCACUGCAGAGGCCUGCCAGACACCGCUUUGGCAGAAUGAAAAAUAAAACCCAAGGCCUAGACUGAUCUUCCAGAAUCUUCUGGUCCAUUCCCAGCCUCCAAGCACUGGAUGUUGGAUUGGCGGGGUAGAGGGAUCAGACAGUUUCCUCCUCCUCCCUUCCUGUGACACCAGCUUCUUGUUCUUCCCUCCAGAAAGGUGGCAAAAGUUAGUUACAUGUAUUCUUCAGCUGAUGCUAGGAAUAAACAC
Molecule: long non-coding RNA, 1769 nt
Organism: Bos taurus (domestic cattle)
Lineage: Eukaryota; Metazoa; Chordata; Mammalia; Artiodactyla; Bovidae
Source: Ensembl